GUCACCCUACGGGGGGCAGCAGUGGGGAAUAUUGCACAAUGGGGGAAACCCUGAUGCAGCGACGCCGCGUGAGCGAAGAAGUAUCUCGGUAUGUAAAGCUCUCUCAGCAGGGAAGAAAAUGACGGUACCUGACUAAGAAGCCCCGGCUAACUACGUGCCAGCAGCCGCGGUAAUACGUAGGUGGCAAGCGUUAUCCGGAAUGACUGGGCGUAAAGGGUGCGUAGGUGGUUUAGUAAGUUGGCGGUGUAAUUCCGGGGCUCAACCUCGGCGCUACCGCCAAAACUAUUAGACUAGAGUGCAGGUGG
This 305-nucleotide ribosomal RNA is filed under the name uncultured bacterium. Its description in RNAcentral is "bacterial SSU rRNA". It matches the Rfam family "Bacterial small subunit ribosomal RNA", at positions 333 to 655 of the family's 1533-position model. The record is from RNAcentral.